This 440-nucleotide ribosomal RNA is filed under the name uncultured bacterium. RNAcentral describes it as "bacterial SSU rRNA". It matches the Rfam family "Bacterial small subunit ribosomal RNA", at positions 338 to 776 of the family's 1533-position model. The record is from RNAcentral.
CCUACGGGAGGCAGCAGUAGGGAAUAUUGGACAAUGGGUGCAAGCCUGAUCCAGCCAUGCCGCGUGCAGGAAGAAGGCCUUCUGGGUUGUAAACUGCUUUUGCCAGGGGAUAAAAAGCCCGUGCGCGGGAAAUUGAAGGUACCUGGUGAAUAAGCCACGGCUAACUACGUGCCAGCAGCCGCGGUAAUACGUAGGUGGCGAGCGUUGUCCGGAUUUAUUGGGUUUAAAGGGUGCGUAGGCGGCUGUCUAAGUCAGUGCUGAAAUAUUCCGGCUUAACCGGGAGGGUGGCAUUGAUACUGGAUGGCUUGAGUAAAGUUGAGGUAGGCGGAAUUGACGGUGUAGCGGUGAAAUGCUUAGAUAUCGUCAAGAACACCGAUAGUGCAGACAGCUUACUAAGCUUUAACUGACGCUGAGGCACGAAAGUGUGGGGAUCAAACAGG